ACAGCUUUGGACAAAAGUCUAGAGUCUGUGCGUUGUAACUCCCGGUGCACGCACAAGGGCUGACUGGGGCUGUGGGAAGACAUUUUACUUAUUUGCCUCCUUUCUUCCAGUCACCUUAUCCUUUCUCUCAGGUGUUGCUCACCUAUUACCAUUUCACCUGUUCUGGUCCUCUGUGGGGGAAAGUCCUGGGACUUGUCAGCUGGUCUAGGCCUCAUAAAAGACAGCUCU
RNAcentral lists this long non-coding RNA (228 nucleotides) under Phascolarctos cinereus (koala). Its description in RNAcentral is "SOX2 overlapping transcript exon 1 (ENSPCIG00000001805.2)". It matches the Rfam family "SOX2 overlapping transcript exon 1". From Rfam's summary of the family: SOX2 overlapping transcript (SOX2OT) is a long non-coding RNA, containing at least 5 exons. The SOX2 gene, an important regulator of neurogenesis, lies within one of the introns of SOX2OT. SOX2OT and SOX2DOT (an isoform of SOXOT transcribed from a distal highly conserved element) are expressed in zones of neurogenesis within the brain. Lineage: Eukaryota; Metazoa; Chordata; Mammalia; Diprotodontia; Phascolarctidae. The record is from RNAcentral.